AGGACGAACGCUGGCGGCGUGCCUAACACAUGCAAGUGGAGCGACGAACCGGGGCUUGCCCCGGGGCAGAGCCGCGAACGGGUGAGUAACACGUGGGUUACCUGCCCCGAUGACUGGGACAACCCGUCGAAAGACGGGCUAAUACCGGAUGUGCCCUUUGGGGGAAAGGAAGCUUCGGCCUCCGCAUCGGGAUGGGCCCGCGGCGCAUUAGCUAGUUGGUGGGGUAAUGGCUUACCAAGGCGACGAUGCGUAGCUGGUCUGAGAGGACGAUCAGCCACACUGGGACUGAGACACGGCCCAGACUCCUACGGGAGGCAGCAGUGGGGAAUCUUGCACAAUGCGCGAAAGCGUGAUGCAGCAACGCCGCGUGCCGGGAAGAAGGCCUUAGGGUUGUAAACCGCUUUCAGUUGGGACGAAGCUUCGCGGGUUAAUAGCUCAUUGGAGUGACGGUACCUUCAGAAGAAGCGCCGGCUAACUACGUGCCAGCCGCAGC
Molecule: ribosomal RNA, 493 nt
Filed under: uncultured bacterium
Lineage: Bacteria
Description: bacterial SSU rRNA
Rfam family: Bacterial small subunit ribosomal RNA
Source: RNAcentral